GAAGCCCUGCACGUUCACGGUGAACGUGUCCGUAUACUCGAAGUAGUACGCCAGCAUCACCGUCCCUGCCAUGAUCACCAUCUGGAAAUAGAGCAUGCUGCUGACAGAAGAUGGAUGUACAAAAAGUCAAGGUGGAGGAGACCUCUAUCUUCGUAGGAUAGAGGAUAGUCCUUGAAUGGGCGAGCAUUGAAUAUUUGUGGAUGGCUUAGAUAAGUAUACCGAUGGCUGCAGCCUGAGCCAGUGACUUUAAGCCUUGGACAUCAAGCAGGCAAACCAGGCAAGAUUUUGACCUUGCUGCAUUACUGCAGGUAUGGCAGGUUUGCCCAGAGCUUCCUGAUGAAUUCACUCACUUCCAAUGACAGCAGAAGGAUUACUCACACUGAUAAAGGAAAUUGGCGGAAGCUACCCAGAAGGGCCACACCUCCAAAAGGUUUUUUUAAGUACAUGAAACAUUGAUGCACGUGCCCCGCCUGGCUUGGAAGUCCAGGACCAAGGUUCCAGCUGUCUGGCUGCAUCCACAUAUGGAGGAAGGCAGAAGGUCAAGCUCCCUGCAUGGUGCAUAAAGCCUCUUUUAUAAGGCCCUUAAUCCCAUUCAUGAGGAAGGAAACUUCAUGGCCUAUCAUCUCUCUCUCUCUUUUUCAAAUUUGAUUUUUUAUUUUAGAUAGAGGGGGUACAUGUGCAGGUUUGUUACAUAGGUAUAUUGCACCCAAGCAGUGAGCAUAGGUAGUUUUUCAUCCCACGCCCCAUCCCUCCCUCCCUUCUCUAGUAGUCCACAGCGUCUGUUGCUCCCACGUUUGUGUCCAUGUUAUGUACUCAAUGUUUAUCCCACACUUAUAAGUGAGAAUAUGUGGUUUUCAGUUCCUAUGUUACCUCACUUAGGAUUAUGGUCUCCAGCUUUAUCCAUGUUGCUGCAAAGGACAUUAUUUUGUUCCUUUUUAUGGCUGCAUGGUAUUCGAUAGUAUAUACGUACCAUAUUUUCUUGAUCCAAUCCACCACUGAUGGGCACCUUGGUUGAUUCUAUGUCUUUGCCAUUGUGAAUUGGGUGGUGAUAAACAUGAAUGCAUGUGUCUUUUGGUAUAAUGAUCUAUUUCC
This 1092-nucleotide long non-coding RNA is filed under the name Homo sapiens (human). Its description in RNAcentral is "PLPPR5 antisense RNA 1". Lineage: Eukaryota; Metazoa; Chordata; Mammalia; Primates; Hominidae. The record is from RNAcentral.